Molecule: long non-coding RNA, 405 nt
Organism: Homo sapiens (human)
Lineage: Eukaryota; Metazoa; Chordata; Mammalia; Primates; Hominidae
Gene: FOXC2-AS1
Product: FOXC2 antisense RNA 1
Source: Ensembl
UUCUUUUUGAAGCGCCGCCGGCGCCGCAGGAAGCUGCCGUUCUCGAACAUGUUGUAGGAGUCCGGGUCCAGGGUCCAGUAACUGCCCUUGCCGGGCUUCUUGUCGUCGCGGGGCACCUUGACGAAGCACUCGUUGAGCGAGAGGUUGUGGCGGAUGCUGUUCUGCCAGCCCUGCUUGUUCUCCCGGUAGAAGGGGAAGCGGUCCAUGAUGAACUGGUAGAUGCCGUUCAAGGUUUCCUUGCACCCUUCCUGGCUGUUCAUCGGCUGCGUAUUCGAUUCUCAGCAAAAGGAUGUUGAGACAACCCACCAGGCCUCUUCGCUUCGGCCUCUUCGCUUCGGGGAGGCGACUAGAAGGCAAUGGGGCGUGCCACUUAUUUCCAAUAAAAGAACAGAAGACGAAAAUGUA